RNAcentral lists this ribosomal RNA (254 nucleotides) under uncultured prokaryote. RNAcentral describes it as "partial 16S ribosomal RNA". It matches the Rfam family "Bacterial small subunit ribosomal RNA", at positions 525 to 777 of the family's 1533-position model. The record is from RNAcentral.
ACGUAGGGGGCGAGCGUUGUCCGGAUUUAUUGGGCGUAAAGAGCUCGUAGGCGGCUUGGCAAGUCGGGUGUGAAACCUCCAGGCUCAACCUGGAGACGCCACUCGAUACUGCUAUGGCUAGAGUCCGGUAGGGGACCACGGAAUUCCUGGUGUAGCGGUGAAAUGCGCAGAUAUCAGGAGGAACACCGGUGGCGAAGGCGGUGGUCUGGGCCGGCACUGACGCUGAGGAGCGAAAGCGUGGGUAGCAAACAGGA